Molecule: transfer RNA, 69 nt
Filed under: Margattea nimbata
Lineage: Eukaryota; Metazoa; Arthropoda; Insecta; Blattodea; Pseudophyllodromiidae
Description: tRNA-Ser
Source: RNAcentral
AGUUAAACACUUCAGAAAGUCUUAUAUUUUGAAAAUAUAAAUUAAGGAGUUUAAAUCUCCUAUUAACUU